UAGGGCGGGACACGUGGUAUCCUGUCUGAAUAUGGGGGGACCAUCCUCCAAGGCUAAAUACUCCUGACUGACCGAUAGUGAACCAGUACCGUGAGGGAAAGGCGAAAAGAACCCCGGCGAGGGGAGUGAAAAAGAACCUGAAACCGUGUACGUACAAGCAGUGGGAGCCCCACCACUAAGCCAGUGGUGAACUCCACAUACGCAUCCUUUGCUGAGGAUACGGUUAACGGAGCGAAAGCGACGUUCAACCGCAAAAGAAGCAGAGGGGGCUUAGUGGUGGGGUGACUGCGUACCUUUUGUAUAAUGGGUCAGCGACUUAUAUUCUGUAGCAAGGUUAACCGUAUAGGGGAGCCGGAGGGAAACCGAGUCUUAAUUGGGCGUUAAGUUGCAGGGUAUAGACCCGAAACCCGGUGAUCUAGCCAUGGGCAGGUUGAAGGUUGGGUAACACUAACUGGAGGACCGAACCGACUAAUGUUGAAAAAUUAGCGGAUGACCUGUGGCUGGGGGUGAAAGGCCAAUCAAACCGGGAG
Molecule: ribosomal RNA, 530 nt
Filed under: Salmonella enterica subsp. enterica serovar Oranienburg
Lineage: Bacteria; Pseudomonadati; Pseudomonadota; Gammaproteobacteria; Enterobacterales; Enterobacteriaceae
Description: bacterial LSU rRNA
Rfam family: Bacterial large subunit ribosomal RNA
Source: RNAcentral